CAGGGUGGAUUAGUGGCGAACGGGUGAGUAACACGUGAGUAACCUGCCCCCGACUCUGGGAUAAGCCCGGGAAACUGGGUCUAAUACCGGAUAUGACUUCCUACUGCAUGGUGGGUUGUUGAAAGAUUUAUCGGUGGGGGAUGGACUCGCGGCCUAUCAGCUUGUUGGUGAGGUAAUGGCUCACCAAGGCGACGACGGGUAGCCGGCCUGAGAGGGUGACCGGCCACACUGGGACUGAGACACGGCCCAGACUCCUACGGGAGGCAGCAGUGGGGAAUAUUGCACAAUGGGCGGAAGCCUGAUGCAGCGACGCCGCGUGAGGGAUGACGGCCUUCGGGUUGUAAACCUCUUUCAGUAGGGAAGAAGCGAAAGUGACGGUACCUGCAGAAGAAGCGCCGGCUAACUACGUGCCAGCAGCCGCGGUAAUACGUAGGGCGCAAGCGUUAUCCGGAUUUAUUGGGCGUAAAGAGCUCGUAGGCGGUUUGUCGCGUCUGCCGUGAAAGUCCGAGGCUCAACCUCGGAUCUGCGGUGGGUACGGGCAGACUAGAGUGAUGUAGGGGAGACUGGAAUUCCUGGUGUAGCGGUGAAAUGCGCAGAUAUCAGGAGGAACACCGAUGGCGAAGGCAGGUCUCUGGGCAUUUACUGACGCUGAGGAGCGAAAGCAUGGGGAGCGAACAGGAUUAGAUACCCUGGUAGUCCAUGCCGUAAACGUUGGGCACUAGGUGUGGGGGACAUUCCACGUUUUCCGCGCCGUAGCUAACGCAUUAAGUGCCCCGCCUGGGGAGUACGGCCGCAAGGCUAAAACUCAAAGGAAUUGACGGGGGCCCGCACAAGCGGCGGAGCAUGCGGAUUAAUUCGAUGCAACGCGAAGAACCUUACCAAGGCUUGACAUGUGCCAGACCGCUCCAGAAGAUGGGGUUUCCCUUCGGGGCUGGUUCACAGGUGGUGCAUGGUUGUCGUCAGCUCGUGUCGUGAGAUG
Molecule: ribosomal RNA, 979 nt
Filed under: Glutamicibacter nicotianae
Lineage: Bacteria; Bacillati; Actinomycetota; Actinomycetes; Micrococcales; Micrococcaceae
Description: bacterial SSU rRNA
Rfam family: Bacterial small subunit ribosomal RNA
Source: RNAcentral